UGAGGAAUAUUGGUCAAUGGGCGAGAGCCUGAACCAGCCAAGUAGCGUGCAGGAUAACGGCCCUAUGGGUUGUAAACUGCUUUUAUAUGGGAAUAAAGUGAGGGACGUGUCCCUUAUUGCAUGUACCAUACGAAUAAGGACCGGCUAAUUCCGUGCCAGCAGCCGCGGUAAUACGGAAGGUCCAGGCGUUAUCCGGAUUUAUUGGGUUUAAAGGGAGCGUAGGCUGUUUGUUAAGCGUGUUGUGAAAUGUAAGAGCUCAACUUUUAGAUUGCAGCGCGAACUGGCAGACUUGAGUGCGCACAACGUAGGCGGAAUUCAUGGUGUAGCGGUGAAAUGCUUAGAUAUCAUGACGAACUCCGAUUGCGAAGGCAGCUUACGGGAGCGCAACUGACGCUAAAGCUCGAAGGUGCGGGUAUCGAACAGG
RNAcentral lists this ribosomal RNA (424 nucleotides) under Verrucomicrobiota bacterium. RNAcentral describes it as "Verrucomicrobia bacterium partial 16S ribosomal RNA". It matches the Rfam family "Bacterial small subunit ribosomal RNA", at positions 355 to 776 of the family's 1533-position model. Lineage: Bacteria; Pseudomonadati; Verrucomicrobiota. The record is from RNAcentral.